This 253-nucleotide ribosomal RNA is filed under the name uncultured bacterium. Its description in RNAcentral is "partial 16S ribosomal RNA". It matches the Rfam family "Bacterial small subunit ribosomal RNA", at positions 524 to 776 of the family's 1533-position model. The record is from RNAcentral.
UACGGAGGGUGCAAGCGUUGCUCGGAUUUAUUGGGCGUAAAGGGUAGGUAGGUGGUCUUAUUUGUCUAGGGUGAAAUCCUUGAGCUUAACUCAAGAAGUGCCCUAGAAACGGUAAGACUAGAGUCCUGGAGAGGGUCGUGGAAUUCCCGGUGUAGCGGCGAAAUGCGUAGAGAUCGGGAGGAACACCAGAGGCGAAGGCGGCGACCUGGACAGGUACUGACGCUGAGGAGCGAAAGCGUGGGGAGCGAACAGG